UGCAGUCGAACGGUAACAGGAAGAAGCUUGCUUCUUUGCUGACGAGUGGCGGACGGGUGAGUAAUGUCUGGGAAACUGCCUGAUGGAGGGGGAUAACUACUGGAAACGGUAGCUAAUACCGCAUAACGUCGCAAGACCAAAGAGGGGGACCUUCGGGCCUCUUGCCAUCGGAUGUGCCCAGAUGGGAUUAGCUAGUAGGUGGGGUAACGGCUCACCUAGGCGACGAUCCCUAGCUGGUCUGAGAGGAUGACCAGCCACACUGGAACUGAGACACGGUCCAGACUCCUACGGGAGGCAGCAGUGGGGAAUAUUGCACAAUGGGCGCAAGCCUGAUGCAGCCAUGCCGCGUGUAUGAAGAAGGCCUUCGGGUUGUAAAGUACUUUCAGCGGGGAGGAAGGGAGUAAAGUUAAUACCUUUGCUCAUUGACGUUACCCGCAGAAGAANNNNNNGCUAACUCCGUGCCAGCAGCCGCGGUAAUACGGAGGGUGCAAGCGUUAAUCGGAAUUACUGGGCGUAAAGCGCACGCAGGCGGUUUGUUAAGUCAGAUGUGAAAUCCCCGGGCUCAACCUGGGAACUGCAUCUGAUACUGGCAAGCUUGAGUCUCGUAGAGGGGGGUAGAAUUCCAGGUGUAGCGGUGAAAUGCGUAGAGAUCUGGAGGAAUACCGGUGGCGAANGCGGCCCCCUGGACGAAGACUGACGCUCANGUGCGAAAGCGUGGGGAGCAAACANGAUUAGAUACCCUGGUAGUCCACGCCGUAAACGAUGUCNACUUGGANGUUGUGCCCUUGANGCGUGGNUUCCGGANCUAACGCGUUAAGUCGACCG
This 825-nucleotide ribosomal RNA is filed under the name uncultured bacterium. RNAcentral's name for it is "bacterial SSU rRNA". It matches the Rfam family "Bacterial small subunit ribosomal RNA", at positions 56 to 871 of the family's 1533-position model. The record is from RNAcentral.